ACGACCUACGGGUGAAAGGGGGCGCAAGCUCUUGCUAUUAGAUGAGCCUAAAUCAGAUUAGCUAGUUGGUGGGGUAAAGGCCCACCAAGGCGACGAUCUGUAACUGGUCUGAGAGGAUGAUCAGUCACACCGGAACUGAGACACGGUCCGGACUCCUACGGGAGGCAGCAGUGGGGAAUAUUGGACAAUGGGGGCAACCCUGAUCCAGCCAUGCCGCGUGUGUGAAGAAGGCCUUUUGGUUGUAAAGCACUUUAAGCAGGGAGGAGAGGCUAAUGGUUAAUACCCAUUAGAUUAGACGUUACCUGCAGAAUAAGCACCGGCUAACUCUGUGCCAGCAGCCGCGGUAAUACAGAGGGUGCGAGCGUUAAUCGGAAUUACUGGGCGUAAAGCGAGUGUAGGUGGCUCAUUAAGUCACAUGUGAAAUCCCCGGGCUUAACCUGGGAACUGCAUGUGAUACUGGUGGUGCUAGAAUAUGUGAGAGGGAAGUAGAAUUCCAGGUGUAGCGGUGAAAUGCGUAGAGAUCUGGAGGAAUACCGAUGGCGAAGGCAGCUUCCUGGCAUAAUAUUGACACUGAGAUUCGAAAGCGUGGGUAGCAAACAGGAUUAGAUACCCUGGUAGUCCACGCCGUAAACGAUGUCUACUAGCCGUUGGGGUCCUUGAGACUUUAGUGGCGCAGUUAACGCGAUAAGUAGACCGCCUGGGGGAGUACGGCCGCAAGGUUAAAACUCAAAUGAAUUGACGGGGGCCCGCACAAGCGGUGGAGCAUGUGGUUUAAUUCGAUGCAACGCGAAGAACCUUACCUGGUCUUGACAUAGUGAGAAUCCUGCAGAGAUGCGGGGAGUGCCUUUCGGGAACUCACAUACAGGUGCUGCAUGGCUGUCGUCAGCUCGUGUCGUGAGAUGUUGGGUUAAGUCCCGCAACGAGCGCAACCCUUUUCCUUAUUUGCCAGCGGGUUAAGCCGGGAACUUUAAGGAUACUGCCAGUGACAAACUGGAGGAAGGCGGGGACGACGUCAAGUCAUCAUGGCCCUUACGACCAGGGCUACACACGUGCUACAAUGGUAGGUACAGAGGGUUGCUACACAGCGAUGUGAUGCUAAUCUCAAAAAGCCUAUCGUAGUCCGGAUUGGAGUCUGCAACUCGACUCC
Molecule: ribosomal RNA, 1147 nt
Filed under: Faucicola osloensis
Lineage: Bacteria; Pseudomonadati; Pseudomonadota; Gammaproteobacteria; Moraxellales; Moraxellaceae
Description: bacterial SSU rRNA
Rfam family: Bacterial small subunit ribosomal RNA
Source: RNAcentral